AAUCAACGCUGGCGGCGUGCCUCAGACAUGCAAGUCGAACGCGAAAGUUCCCUUCGGGGGAUAAGUAGAGUGGCGUCCGGGUGAGUAACACGUAGGUAAUCUACCUUUGGGUGGGGAAUAACAACCGGAAACGGUUGCUAAUACCGCAUAAUGCAGCGGCACCACAUGGUAACAGUUGUUAAAGCGGGGGAUCGCAAGACCUCGCGCCUAAAGAGGAGCCUGCGGCGGAUUAGCUAGUUGGUAGGACGGCCUACCAAGGCAACGAUCCGUAGCCGGCCUGAGAGGGCGGUCGGCCACACUGACACUGAAAUACGGGUCAGACUCCUACGGGAGGCAGCAGUCGGGAAUUUUGGGCAAUGGG
Molecule: ribosomal RNA, 361 nt
Filed under: uncultured bacterium
Lineage: Bacteria
Description: bacterial SSU rRNA
Rfam family: Bacterial small subunit ribosomal RNA
Source: RNAcentral